AUAACUACGAUACCCGCGACCGUUCGCUUUUGUCAGUUGACCUUGAGCAGUGUCCGCAGUGUCCACGGUGCAACAACGGCAGUGGCAGCGUCAGUCGCCACAGCUGAUCGCACGAAGAACGCAACACACGGGCGCAAACGCACUACAGGAACCACCUCCACGUCCGGUUAAUCACUAUUUUAUGGUCCAGUUACCUGAUUCGACCAUGAUCAUAGUGUAUAAUAUCACCACAUUAUUAUUAAUAUUUAUUUUACUACUAAUAAUAAUAUUUUUGUUUUGGCCGUUCAAAUACUUCUAGUGAUUGGAUUUGGUUAAUGGUUAUUAUUACUUAUUAGUUAGGUAUUAAUAGUAUUAUGUAUUUUUGUAUGUUAUUACGUUAUCCCGGCCAACCUUAUGGACCUUAACAAAUUAUAACCAAAAAACUAAAAUAUUUAUUGUUGUAUUCGGUGGUAACGUUCGCAUAUCGUAAUAUAAUUAUUGCGGUAUAGCGACAAUUACGCGCUGAAAAAAGACGGCAAAAAUAAAAAACAAUUUUAUCGUUAUUUUUUUCCCCCUCGCCGUUUAUAUGACGUAUAUAAAUAUAAUCUAUUAUUUGGUUGCACGAGAGUUAUUUAAGGCGGCCGACGUCAGCGCAACUAGCUCUAUGCAGAAUAUGCGUUCGACGUUGGCACCGGGCCACCGGCUUUCCGUCUGUUGUCGCAGGACGCUGCGACUAACGGUCGCCACAAGAACGGUUGAAGACUACGACGCGGACUAUUGUUCAGAGAACUGUUGUUCGACGUGAGCACGUGACCAUGUUCCCGUCCAAGGGAUUGUUCCGGAACGUCUUCUUCCAGCCUUAUAACGACCAUGGUUCAGCGAGAUUGAGGAACUCUUCCAAGAAUAGUAAGCAUUUUGUACAACGACUUGGCUUGGAAAAAAUUUUGGAAAAUCAUCACGGAUGUGUUAAUUCUGUGAAUUGGAACGAUACUGGAUCAUUAUUACUUACAGCUGGUGAUGAUAAACAUAUAGUGAUUACUAAUCCAUUUUCAUACAAAGUUCUUGUUGAUUAUAAAACACAACAUAAAACUAAUAUUUUCUGUGCAAAAUUCUUACCUACUUCAGACAACCGUAUCAUUUCAUGUGGUGCAGAUGGUUCUGUUCUUAAUCUUGAUUUGGAAAGACCAGAGGAGACGGAGUGGAAUUUUUUUACUUGCCAUUGUAGCCAAUGCUAUAAACUAGAAACAAUACCCAAUGAACCCAAUAUAUUUCUAAGCUGUAGUGAAGAUGGUACAGUUCGUGAAUAUGAUCUCAGAACGAGUGUUAAAUGUUCAAAACAACGUUGUGAUGACCAUGAAUUGAUUGAUUGCGGUAAACCUGUUUCCACUAUUGCGAUAAAUCCUGUUAAACCUUAUCAACUUGCUAUUGCCACAAUAGAUAGUAUAGUUAGAAUAGUCGACAGAAGAAAAAUUAUGAAAAAAGGAUUAUUUCAAAAAAUUGUUCCUGAAUUUUCCUUUACUGUUCCUCAUCUAAAUCAUCGUGCUUACCGUAUAACAUCUUUGUCAUACUCACCUGAUGGCAGAGACAUGCUUGCAAGCUAUUCCUAUGAAGAAAUAUAUUUGUUUAGCCUUAAUAAAGAUUCUUGUAUGACAGCAGUUGCUAAUGACUUUUUAGAAAAUGCACCAAUUCCACCACCAUAUAGACGAAUAAGAUUAAGAGGUGACUGGGGUGACACUGGACCUUUAUCUCGACCAUCUACUGAUAAUCUUACAAGAUCAAGAAUACAGUCUGAAGUUAUGGCUCGAAUGAGUGACAUGUUAAUUCAUGUAUUUAAUACACCAUCAUUACGUUCUGUUGUUAUGCAAAAUUGGAGACCAAACUAUUCUCCUCCAGUUUCAGCAUCCUUGAGACGUACUAUAAGUACAAUUGAACCACAAGGUUCAGACGAAUUUGAUGUUCCUAUCAAUGUAGAUAUUGAUGAAAAUACCAACUCAAAUGAAAAUAAUAUUGUACAGUCUACUUCAAAUAGCAGUAACCAAAGAGUUGAAAAUAAAUUAAAAACUAAUAAAAAAACUCCAGUGUUUGAUGAUUUUAUUGCACUUCAACCAAUCAAAGCACAAUAUAAAGGUCAUAGAAAUGCUAGAACUUUAAUCAAAGAAGCAACAUUCUGGGGCAAUGAUUUUAUUAUGUCAGGUAGUGAUUGUGGACAUGUGUUUAUAUGGGAUCGUUAUACAUGUGAAAUAGUGAUGUUGCUAAUGGCAGAUACACAUGUGGUUAAUUGUAUUCAACCACACCCUAGUAGGCCUUUACUAGCAACUUCUGGUGUUGAUCAUAAUGUUAAGCUUUGGAGUCCAAUGUGUAUUGAUAGAAUGUUCUAUCAAUCAUUUGCAAAAGAGCUAGUGGAAAGAAAUAAAUUAAUGAUGGAACAAUCAAAAGAUACAGUGACUGUGUCUCCAUCAUUAAUAGUGCGAAUGCUUUCUUAUUUCAAUCAACUUAGACGAAGUGGAUACUUAGAAAGGACAAAUGCCAUCCAUAAUGUAAUUUAAUUCAUAUAAAUUGGAUACCUUUUUUAGUAUGUGCUGACAUGAAAACCCAGAUUUUUAAACAUAAUAAAUUGUAUCUAGUUAAGAUCAAUUGAACAAGAGGCGAAGCGUCAUAGGAUACAAUGAGACAACAUCUACCCACUAAGAAAUUAGAACACAGGAAAAAUAAUUUUGUUUUAUAAAAUAUUCACAAACUUUAACAUCAUUUAUACUAUAAAAAUGACAUAUGUUUAAAUAUUUGUUAAAAUUGGUUUUUCGUUGUACAGCUAUAGUCUUUAAGAAUUAUUAAAAUAGAUUAGAUGCGCGCAAUACGGCCAUGCGGCUCAUUCCAAAUAUUGUAUAAUAUCAAAGAUGUGCACGCGGGUACAGAGGGGAUUUUAAUGUAAGUGGGGUUUACUAUCUUUGCUAUGAGACACGUCUCGCUAUUCGGAUUUCCUCAAUUAUCUACAUCUACAUUACGUUGUUACGCCAUCGCCCCCUUUAAAUCGCUAUUACUGAUAGCCGAUAGGUACCUACAUAUUUCUUAAUAUUGUUGUUUUUAUAGUGUAGUUUGUCAUCAUGGCUGAUGAUAUAAUUUAUGUCAUUUUGAACAAUGGAAUUAUUAAUUACUCAUAUGAAAAAAAAAUGUAUUAUUGAAU
RNAcentral lists this unclassified non-coding RNA (3160 nucleotides) under Rhopalosiphum maidis (corn leaf aphid). RNAcentral's name for it is "dDB1- and CUL4-associated factor 6-like, transcript variant X1". The record is from RNAcentral. Lineage: Eukaryota; Metazoa; Arthropoda; Insecta; Hemiptera; Aphididae.